RNAcentral lists this long non-coding RNA (276 nucleotides) under Ricinus communis (castor bean). RNAcentral describes it as "long non-coding RNA (RCOM_LNC002749)". Lineage: Eukaryota; Viridiplantae; Streptophyta; Magnoliopsida; Malpighiales; Euphorbiaceae. The record is from RNAcentral.
UUGUAUGCACUCUUCAUUAAAUUUAAAAUAUUCAUCAUGCACAAAUGUAUUGUUCAUUCUCCAUUAUUGAAAUGUGCAUCAUCAAAUAUGCAUUUUGGUUAAAAUAUGUAUUAGUUAAAUAUUAAAUGUUCAUCAUAAUAAAAGAAGUACAUCAAAUAUGCAUAUGAUGCUCAUGUAUAAUAAUUAUAAGGUAAAGGUUAAAAAACUUGUCAUAUGGUUUGGUGCUUUUACACUUAAGAACUAAAGUGUGCUUGUAUCAAAUGAGGACUACACAUU